AUUGAACGCUGGCGGCAUGCCUAACACAUGCAAGUCGAACGGCAGCACGGCAGUAGCAAUACUGUGGGUGGCGAGUGGCGGACGGGUGAGGAAUACGUCGGAAUCUGCCCAGUCGUGGGGGAUAACUAGCCGAAAGGUUAGCUAAUACCGCAUACGACCGAGAGGUGAAAGCGGGGGACCGCAAGGCCUCGCGCGAUUGGAUGAGCCGACGUCGGAUUAGCUAGUUGGUGGGGUAAAGGCCCACCAAGGCGACGAUCCGUAGCUGGUCUGAGAGGAUGAUCAGCCACACUGGAACUGAGACACGGUCCAGACUCCUGCGGGAGGCAGCAGUGGGGAAUAUUGGACAAUGGGCGCAAGCCUGAUCCAGCAAUGCCGCGUGUGUGAAGAAGGCCUUCGGGUUGUAAAGCACUUUUAUCAGGAACGAAAAGCGUUGGAUUAAUACUCUGACGUGCUGACGGUACCUGAGGAAUAAGCACCGGCUAACUUCGUG
RNAcentral lists this ribosomal RNA (490 nucleotides) under uncultured bacterium. Its description in RNAcentral is "bacterial SSU rRNA". It matches the Rfam family "Bacterial small subunit ribosomal RNA", at positions 29 to 507 of the family's 1533-position model. The record is from RNAcentral.